UGGGGAAUAUUGCACAAUGGGCGAAAGCCUGAUGCAGCGACGCCGCGUGCGGGAUGAAGGCCUUCGGGUUGUAAACCGCUUUUGAUUGGGAGCAAGCGAGAGUGAGUGUACCUUUCGAAUAAGCACCGGCUAACUACGUGCCAGCAGCCGCGGUAAUACGUAGGGUGCAAGCGUUAUCCGGAAUUAUUGGGCGUAAAGAGCUCGUAGGCGGUUUGUCGCGUCUGGUGUGAAAGUCCAUCGCUUAACGGUGGAUCUGCGCCGGGUACGGGCAGGCUAGAGUGCGACAGGGGAGACUGGAAUUCCCGGUGUAACGGUGGAAUGUGUAGAUAUCGGGAAGAACACCAAUGGCGAAGGCAGGUCUCUGGGUCGUCACUGACGCUGAGGAGCGAAAGCGUGGGGGAG
Molecule: ribosomal RNA, 402 nt
Filed under: uncultured bacterium
Lineage: Bacteria
Description: partial 16S ribosomal RNA
Rfam family: Bacterial small subunit ribosomal RNA
Source: RNAcentral